This 495-nucleotide ribosomal RNA is filed under the name uncultured bacterium. Its description in RNAcentral is "partial 16S ribosomal RNA". It matches the Rfam family "Bacterial small subunit ribosomal RNA", at positions 28 to 508 of the family's 1533-position model. The record is from RNAcentral.
GACGAACGCUGGCGGCGUGCUUAACACAUGCAAGUCGAACGGUGAAGCGCCUUCCUUUUUGGUGGGUGUGGAUGAGUGGCGAACGGGUGAGUAACACGUGAGUAACCUGCCCCCUUCUUCUGGAUAACCGCAUGAAAGUGUGGCUAAUACGGGAUAUUCUGGGUCUGUCGCAUGAUGGGUCUGGGAAAGAUAUUGUUUCGGUGGGGGAUGGGCUCGCGGCCUAUCAGCUUGUUGGUGGGGUGAUGGCCUACCAAGGCGGUGACGGGUAGCCGGCCUGAGAGGGUGGACGGUCACACUGGGACUGAGACACGGCCCAGACUCCUACGGGAGGCAGCAGUGGGGAAUAUUGCACAAUGGGCGCAAGCCUGAUGCAGCGACGCCGCGUGAGUGAUGGAGGCCUUCGGGUUGUGAACCUCUUUCGCCAGUGAAGCAGGCCUGCCUCGUUUGUGGGUGGGUUGACGGUAGCUGGAUAAGAAGCGCCGGCUAACUACGUGC